This 406-nucleotide ribosomal RNA is filed under the name uncultured bacterium. Its description in RNAcentral is "bacterial SSU rRNA". It matches the Rfam family "Bacterial small subunit ribosomal RNA", at positions 28 to 430 of the family's 1533-position model. The record is from RNAcentral.
GAUGAACGCUGGCGGCGUGCUUAACACAUGCAAGUCGAACGAGGUCCAUGGAGCUUGCUCCGGAAGACCUAGUGGCGAACGGGUGCGUAACACGUGAGAAACCUGCCCCGAUCUCUGGGAUAACAGUUGGAAACGACUGCUAAUACCGGAUGCCGUCACACCGCUUCAUGGCGGAGUGCCGAAAGAUUUAUCGGAUCGGGAGGGUCUCGCGGCCUAUCAGCUAGUUGGAGAGGUAACGGCUCACCAAGGCAUCGACGGGUAGCUGGUCUGAGAGGAUGAUCAGCCACACUGGGACUGAGACACGGCCCAGACUCCUACGGGAGGCAGCAGUGGGGAAUCUUGCACAAUGGGCGAAAGCCUGAUGCAGCAACGCCGCGUGCGGGAAGAAGGCCCUAGGGUUGUAAAC